UACGAAGGGUGCAAGCGUUAUCCGGAUUCAUUGGGUUUAAAGGGUGCGUAGGUGGGGCGUUAAGUCAGUGGUGAAAUCCUGCAGCUCAACUGUAGACUUGCCAUUGAUACUGGCGUUCUUGAGUGCGCUUGAAGUAGGCGGAAUGUGCCGUGUAGCGGUGAAAUGCUUAGCUAUGGCACAGAACACCAAUUGCGAAGGCAGCUUACUAAGGCGAUACUGACACUGAGGCACGAAAAGCGUGGGGAUCGAA
RNAcentral lists this ribosomal RNA (250 nucleotides) under uncultured archaeon. RNAcentral describes it as "partial 16S ribosomal RNA". It matches the Rfam family "Bacterial small subunit ribosomal RNA", at positions 524 to 772 of the family's 1533-position model. The record is from RNAcentral.